UACAGAGGUGGCAAGCGUUGUUCGGAAUUACUGGGCGUAAAGGGCGCGUAGGCGGCUUGGUCAGUCCCGUGUGAAAUCCCUCGGCUCAACUGAGGAACUGCACGGGAAACUGCCUGGCUUGAGUUCGGGAGAGGGAAGCGGAAUUCCGGUGUAGCGGUGAAAUGUGUUGAUAUCGGAAGGAACACCGGUGGCGAAAGCGGUGCACUGGGGCUCAACUGACGCUGAGGCACGAAAGCCAGGGUAGUGAACGGG
Molecule: ribosomal RNA, 252 nt
Filed under: uncultured bacterium
Lineage: Bacteria
Description: partial 16S ribosomal RNA
Rfam family: Bacterial small subunit ribosomal RNA
Source: RNAcentral